RNAcentral lists this ribosomal RNA (253 nucleotides) under uncultured bacterium. Its description in RNAcentral is "partial 16S ribosomal RNA". It matches the Rfam family "Bacterial small subunit ribosomal RNA", at positions 524 to 776 of the family's 1533-position model. The record is from RNAcentral.
UACGUAGGGGGCAAGCGUUGUCCGGAAUCAUUGGGCGUAAAGAGCGUGUAGGCGGUCCGAUAAGUCCGCUCUGAAAGCCCGGGGCUCAACCCCGGGAGGCGGGCGGAUACUGUCGGGCUAGAGUCCGGAAGAGGCAAGUGGAAUUCCUGGUGUAGCGGUGAAAUGCGCAGAUAUCAGGAGGAACACCGGUGGCGAAGGCGGGUCUCUGGGCCGUAACUGACGCUGAGGAGCGAAAGCAUGGGGAGCGAACAGG